RNAcentral lists this long non-coding RNA (1608 nucleotides) under Cricetulus griseus (Chinese hamster). Its description in RNAcentral is "lncRNA (ENSCGRG00015036665.1)". The record is from RNAcentral. Lineage: Eukaryota; Metazoa; Chordata; Mammalia; Rodentia; Cricetidae.
CACCCAGGAGGAUGUGCGGGGAGGCCCGCCCGCAUGGGGAGAGGGCCAGGCUUUGAACAUGAAGUUGAUCACAUGCAAAUAGCAUGCAAAUAUAUGCAAGCUGGCUUGGGCUGCGGGGCCCACCUCUCUGCCGUCCUCCCUCCUGGGUGAGGGCUGGGGCGGGUUUGCAUCCGGUUCCGCUUGGUGCCUAGGGUGCCUGGGCUCUACUUCAACCUGCCAGUAACGGAGUGAGGGUGGGGCAGUUCUCCACACCACCCUGCCCAAGAGAUGUGACCUAAGAGGACAUGGAGGUACUGGGUGGCAGGAGAGGCGGCUGACCCGCUGAGCAAGGAGUCCCUGUGGCUUGUGAUUUGUGCCUGGUGUCCUCACGAAAAGGUGAAGGAGUGUGUGCCCAGGAUUCUGACAUUCCCUCCUCCCCUGAAGGCUGGGGAGCAGCUGAACACACGUGGCAGACAGGACUCCCAGACCUGGCACGUUGUUUUCGACACAAUGUCUCAUAAAUAACAACUCACUGUGUAGCUGAGGAUGACCUUGACUGCCUCCACCACUCAAGUGCUGGAUUUCAGGGUCUAUAGGUCAGGCUGGUGCCAUACUUGUGACCCUCUUGCCUCAGUCUCCCGAGUGCUGAUAUUAUAGGUGCAUCAACCCAUACGGGACUCGCUCUGAGCUUCCAGGGGUCAGUGGACUCAUAGGGACAGAGGAGUUACUCAGUUCUACAGAAGUUGGCAUUAGGUGGAUGCUGGCAUUAAAGGCAAGAGUCACCACACCAGGCAAGUAGGGGGACAUUUUGUAGGAUCUCUGUCUCCCAGAUACUCACUUUACUCAUAGCUGCUCUGCCCGAGGCCAACUUGGGGUUCUUUUUUUUUUUUUGGUUUUUCGAGACAGGGUUUCUCUGUAUUGCUUUGGAGCCUGUCCUGGAACUGCUCCGUAGACCAGGCUGGCUUCAAACUCAGAGAUCCACCUGCCUCUGCCUCCCGAGUGAUGGACUGGGGGUGGUGGCCCAUGUGGGCCUUUAAUCCCACUCAGGAGACAGAGUCAGGCAGAUUUGGUCUAGAGACCAGGUCAGUCUGGUUUACAUAGUGAAUUCCAAGACAGCAAAGAUGAGAGGAGACCCUUUUUCUAAACAAUAACACCCUUCCCUGAAACAGGAACAGAAACCCAGGUGGAAGAGCUGGGCAAGCCAAACAAUUGUCGGGGAGAGGGGUACCUGAAAGAGUGGUGGAGCCUAUAAUCAAUUCCUUCCAUCAACACCUUUUCUCUUCCUUUUUGGACAAGAUUUCACUUUGCUCAGGCUAGUGUCAGACAUGAUAUUUGGCAGAGGAUAACCUUGAACUUCUGAUACUUCUGGUCCCUCACACUGCAAAUUGGGGGCGGGAGGAGAGGUGGAAAACUGCCAAAGGUGAGGCAGUGGGAAGAAUCUUAGGUGGAGUGGGUAGCUCUUCCCCCAGGUGCAGCAGACCAGGUGCUCGCAUAGUGGCCACCUGCUAGAACACCCUGGUGAUCCUUGCCCUGCUCCUCCACACUCCAGGCUGGGGUGAGGGGACUCUGCGGGAGUUACCCUGGGUGGCCGCACUUUUGGAAGCACAUAGAGUCUACCCAGGCUGGCCU